UGUACUUUGUAAAUCAAUUAUCGAUUUUAUUACCGGCAAAACUAUCUCGUAUUUAAGAAAAUAGUGUUUUUUGAAAUCUUCUGUCGUAAUGAUUUUAUAGACUUAUGAAUCAUAUUCUAUUUGUUUUUGAAUGAAUUUCAAAACCCUUUUAAGUUAUAUUUACUUUAAGAAUGAUUGAAACGAAACAUUUUAGUGGUUUCCUUAAAAAAUCGUAUUGAACUUUAAUUACUUUUGUUACGAUGCAUUUCCAUACAUGCUAGUGAUGCCCCAAUAUAAUACAAAGGUUAUGUUUAAUGAUAUGAUUAUGCUAAGCAUGUUUUACCCACGUGGGAAAUAUUAUGAUUUGAUUUUGUUAAGUCGCAAAUAAAGUAUGUUUUGCUAUGUGCAACUAAAAGAUGUUUAUCAUAUGGAAAAAAUUAAUAUUUUUGACUUUCAAAUGCUAUUAAAAUUACAAGAUAUAUAUUAUGUACAAAAAAAAUAUUUUAGCCUAAAUGACGGGUACAUAUGCCACAGCAAAUGUUAUGUGCAUGAUUAAACGGCUCACCAAUGCUGAUCGUGUAUUGUUCACAAUACCAUUGUGUUACACUUGUCGGACAUGUCGCGGACUGUAGACCGACUACCAAACGAGUCACAGGAUAACUCACAGAGUACCCAUGUAAACUUAUGAUAUGAGUUUGAAAUUAAUUUGGAUCCAUUGAGAUCUUGUGAUUUAUGAUGAAAAAUGAGAAUUUAAAAUGACUAUAUAGCCAUUGAACUGGAUUUGAAUCAUAAUAUGAUUUAUGCAAUUGAAAAAGCAUAUUUCAAAAUGAAUUUACUCAAAUAAAAAAAAAGAUUUUAAUAACUUAUUUGACGGACACCAGUGUGUUUAUACUCAGCCUUUUUGCUGAUACUAUGCUUUGUAUGAUUUUCCAAUGGUUUUUUUUUAGAGUAAACUCCUAUAGCACCUCGACGGAUAAUGGAUAUGCGAGCGGAAGUUGAACCCGGGUUGGAGUAUGACUUCCCUUUUGUUUAGAUCUCUUCAUUGUAUUUGAGAGACUAUUAGUUUAGAUUUAGACUAAUUUAAGGAUGUAGUUUGAACUUUAGACUUCACUACAAGAAAACUUGUUUUUAGCAACAAGUUUUAGCAACGACUAUAUUUUUUUCGUUGCGAAAAAUACAAAUUGUUGCGAAAAUCCGUUGUUGUUGCUAAAUAAUCGUUGCCAUAAAAAAAAAAGAGCGCGGGCUUUGAAAUAAUUAAUAUUUGUUUUUUGCAACGAUACCAGUCGUUGCUAUAAAGCAUUAUUAGGUAACGCAACAACACGAGUCAUUGGGAAAAAUUAUUUUAUGUAUUGCAACAACAAUGUCAUUGCAAAAAAAAAAAAAAUUGAAAACCUAAAACACGGGAAAUUGGAGAAAGAGAGAAAGCUUGCUUCAGAAAGCCAAGCCUCACGCGAUGCGAAACAGCAAAAUCGCCUCCUCCCUGCUUCAAGCCUCCUGCCUGCUUGCCUCGCCUCCGGCCUCCCCACGUCGACGUCGUACCUCCGGCGCUCCUGUCCCUGCCUCCCCAGUGCCACCGGCCACCGCCGUCACGCCGUACGUUUAAUCGUUUAUGAACCCUAAUUUUUGAAUGUUGGUUUUGUCGAUUGUUGUUUACUCGUUUUGAUGCCGGUUUUGAUAAUUGAUAUUGAUUCUCUAUUUCUCUUGAUCUUGAUGUUCUGAAUCAAAUGUUGAAGAUGAAUAUUGGUUUUGAUGCUGGUUUUGAUUUUUGAAUGUUGGUUUUGUCGAGUAUGUCGACUGUGGUUUACUCGUUUUGAUGCUGGUUUUGAUAAUUGAUUUUGAUUCUCUAUUUCUCUUGAUCUUGAUGUUCUGAAUCAAAUGGUGAAGAUGAAUGUUGGUUUUGAAUGCUGGUUUUCAUCAUUCGUUUUCUUUUUGAUUUUAUGGUGAAGAUGAAUCAAAAUAUGCAUGCUGGCCUGGUUUUGAUGCUUGAAUGUUGGUUUUGUCGACUGUCGUUUAUUCGUUUUGAUGCUGGUUUUGAUAAUUGAUAUUGAUUCUCUAUUUCUCUUGAUCUUGAUGUUUUGAAUCAAAUGGUGAAGAUGAAUGUUGGUUUUGAAUGCUGGUUUUCAUCAUUCGUUUUCUUUUUGAUUUUAUGGUGAAGAUGAAUCAAAAUAUGAAUGCUGGUUUUGAUGCUUACGGUUUUGAUGCUGGAAAUAUGAAUCAAAAGCAUUGAUCACAAGUUAGUUUUCUUAAGCGUUGAUGAAUCAAAAUAUGAAUCAUUAUAAUGCUUAAGUUAGUUUUCUUGCUUUUAAUUUGCUAUCUGUUGGAAAUAUGAUCACAAGCAUUGACAGUGUUGUGUGGGUCAUCUGAAUAAGCAAUUCUUUGAAGUUAUUAGAUGUAAAAUCAAACUUGUUUAAUGUCUUAAUUUGACAAAUUUGGGAUUCAUACACUGUAAAGGCUCAGACUUUUAAGACCGCCAUAGAAGCAGCCUGUAUGCUUCUUAGGAUAGAUGAUAUAGUGAGUGGCAUCAAGAAGAAGCAGGCUCCAGGAGCACAAGCUCCGUCGCAACCAUCGAUUGAGUAGGCAGAUGAUGCUGAUAAUGAACAAAUGAUACCAGAGUGAAAGUAUUAGAACAAGGAACUUAACAAAUUGCCUAUCAGCCUGCUGCUGGGGUCAUGUGACCGGCUUGUGUAGGGGCAAAUCAUUUUGGUACCAUUUUUCGAAGGUCCCUCUUUUUGGUGGUUUGGUUUAAUUUAAUCCCUUGUUGCAUCUGUUGAGGGUUUGCUUAAACUUUUCUUGAGUAACUUAGCUGGGAACAGAGUAGCCAUUCUUUUUGUUGAAUUUUUGACUUUGCAGGAUGAAAACUGAUAAAAAACCACCGCUUGCGACCUUGCGAAAUCUCCGAUGAGGAUUCGUGGGCGUCGAUCAGUUCUAAAACCAUCUAACACAAAUACACCUUUUCGUACACCAGGUCUUCUCAUUUGUUUUUAGAGACGGUGAUCCAAAUCAAGGAAUUGAAGAGAAGAGGUGGAAGCUGAUUCAAUACAAACGGAGGUGUCAGAUUCAAUGGAAGCAGAUGAAAUUGAAGCAUCAACUAUGGAGAUUGAGAAUGCAAAGUGCCUAUCACUUGUAAAUUUUUACAUGAAAACUUGUAUAUGGUAGGAGAAUUAUUUUGGAAAAUUGGUUAUACGUUACAUGUAUAUGAAUUACGUAUAUUUUUGACACACGAUAAUAUUUGGACGUGUGAUAUUUUGGGAU
Molecule: long non-coding RNA, 3231 nt
Organism: Amaranthus tricolor (Joseph's coat)
Lineage: Eukaryota; Viridiplantae; Streptophyta; Magnoliopsida; Caryophyllales; Amaranthaceae
Exons: 3
Source: RefSeq, a predicted model, not a curated record